CCUACGGGUGGCUGCAGUGGGGAAUAUUGGGCAAUGGAGGCAACUCUGACCCAGCAACGCCGCGUGAAUGAUGAAGGUCUUCGGAUUGUAAAGUUCUUUUCUAAGGGAAGAAGAAAGUGCCGUUACCUUUGGAAUAAGCCUGGGCUAACUACGUGCCAGCAGCCGCGGAAAUACGUAGGAGGAAAGCGUUUUCCGGAAUGACUGGGCGUAAAGGGGGCGUAGGGGGUUAGACAAGUUGGUUGGGUAACCCCGGAGCUCAACCUCGGAACUACUAUCAAAACUGUUUGACUUGAGUGCCGGAGAGGCCACUGGAAUUUCUAGUGUAGCGGUGGAAUGCGUAGAUAUAAGGAAGAACACCAGUGGCGAAGGCGAGUUGCUGGACUGUAACUGACGGUGAGGCACGAAAGCGUGGGGAGCAAACAGGAUUAGAUACCCGUGUAGUC
This 443-nucleotide ribosomal RNA is filed under the name uncultured bacterium. Its description in RNAcentral is "partial 16S ribosomal RNA". It matches the Rfam family "Bacterial small subunit ribosomal RNA", at positions 338 to 795 of the family's 1533-position model. The record is from RNAcentral.